CUGAAGCCAAGAGGUAGCCAGGAAGUUUGCAGUGAUACUUUUGGUCCUUCUCUUGUUGAGUUUUGGCCAGAAAUCUGUCAUACUCAAUAAAACUGUCAAGCAUAGAUAACGUUAACGUAGAUAACGUUAACAAUGCUCUAAUUUGCUCGUCCCAGAGGCUGGGGAGGAGGGCAGCCCUGAAAUAGAACAGAAAAAGAAAUAUGUUCAGGCCACUGAAGCUGGGGUUGGCCCAGAUCCUUGCGGUGAUGUGGACGGAGAAAUCACCCAGAGAGGAGCAGGCAAGCAGGGACAAUAAUUGCUCAGCUUCCACAGGGCUCCACCCUGGCUGGAGGCAUCUUUCUUCCUUCUGGAAGACCUCGUCUGUGGAAUACCAGAGGCUGUGGAUAUUCAGGAAACUUUCCGCUCACGAGAGUGGCUGGAGGUGCAACAAAACCAUCACUUCCCUCCUACAGGCGAUUAAAAGAGCCUUUUUUGUUAAUUAAUUAAAAGAGCCUUUUUUAUUAAUGUAACUUUUCUGAGCUUCCUUGGAGCUGGGCUCUGGCAGCCAAGAUCUGCAUUUCAG
This is a non-coding RNA of Anas platyrhynchos (mallard), 562 nucleotides long. Lineage: Eukaryota; Metazoa; Chordata; Aves; Anseriformes; Anatidae. The record is from RefSeq and is a predicted model, not a curated record.